CAACACUCUUUUAUCACAAUCGCACGAAAGUGGGAUAAGGGAAUCCAGAGCGCUUAGCUUUGGGAGGCGGUUGCCAAGAGUAAAAAUCUGGGAGAAUAAGUGGUGGGAAAGACUGGUGCCAGCCGCCGCGGUAACACCAGCGCCACGAGUGGGGAUCCUGAUUAUUUGGCCUAAAGCGUCCGUAGCUGGUUUAGUAAAUCUCUUGUGAAAUCGUUGGGCUCAACCCAACGGCGUGCAGGGGAGACUGCUAGACUAGGGACCGGGGGGAGUCAGAGGUUUGCCGGGGGGGGCGGUAAAAUGUUAUAUUCCCUAGUAGACCACCUGGGGGGGAAGGCGUCUGACUAGAACGGGUCCGACAGUGGGGGACGAAAGCCAGGGAAGCAAACCGGGAUUAGAUACCCGAGAAGUCUUGGCUGUAACCGCUGCGAGCUAGGUGUUGCAAUUUCUCGGGAAAUGUCCGGGGUCGAAGCGAAGGUGUUAAGCUCGCCGCUGGGAAAGUAUGGUCCCAGAACUGAAACUUAAAGGAUUUGGGGGGGGAAAGGGCGAAUUCCCGGCCGCAAAAUUUAAUUGCCCCUAUGGUGAGUCGUAUUACAAUUCACUGGCCGUCUUUUAAAAAACGGCCAAGGCAAAUUCUUUUUAACGUGCGGAAUGGCCCUUUAGGGGGGUUAUUUCGGAGCUGGGGAAACUGGGCAAUCUUUUUCCGGA
RNAcentral lists this ribosomal RNA (705 nucleotides) under uncultured euryarchaeote. RNAcentral's name for it is "partial 16S ribosomal RNA". The stretch from base 1 to 634 matches the Rfam family "Archaeal small subunit ribosomal RNA", at positions 333 to 1478 of the family's 1478-position model. Lineage: Archaea; Methanobacteriati; Methanobacteriota. The record is from RNAcentral.